This is a long non-coding RNA of Piliocolobus tephrosceles (Ugandan red Colobus), 2236 nucleotides long. NCBI's taxonomy places the organism in Eukaryota, Metazoa, Chordata, Mammalia, Primates, Cercopithecidae. The record is from Ensembl.
GUAAUAUAAUUAUAGGUACACUAUAAUUAUGGCAGCUCCAAAAAAACUACUACAAAAUGGUUUAGUUUAAAUUUGUUAUUUUUCAGAGGACUUCUUUUUUCUUUUUUUUCUUUUUUUAAAAUUUAACAAAAUUAUAUAUAUAUUGUUAUUUAAUUACAUACAAUAUAAUAAUAUAUUCUAAAAGAAAGGAAAAAAAAAUAAAUGUGUUUUUAUUUUAAAAACACUGAUUUUGUUCUUGUAAAAAACAAAAGCUAAAUAUAAAUAUACAUAUAAAUAUACAUAUGUAUAUAAAUUAUUUUUAUGCUUUUAAUGUUCAUAACCUUGUAUAUGUUUAUGCAUUAUAUAUAUAUAUAUAUAUAUUUUUUGUUUUAUUUUUUUUUUUUAUUUUUUCAAAUAUAUACACUUAUAUAUAUGUAUAUAUAGUGUAUGACUUUUUUUUUUUGUUUGUUUUAUUUGUUCAGUUUUUAAUCAAAAUAAAGAUGUGGUGACAUAUAUAUAUAUAUAUAUAUAUAUGUACGUUAUAUCUUUUUUGUUAAAACUAUAACUUAUAUAUUUUGUUUUUGUGAAUGUUGUACUUAUAUGUUUUAAGCGCGUUUUUAUUAAGAAUUAUUAACUUUUUUGUUUUCCUUAUAAAACUUUGUACCACGUUAAUAAAAAUUAAAAUGUUUUCAUUGUGCUAUUGUACUGUGAAAUUUCUUGACCGUUUUUUUUUUUUUUUUUUUUUUUUUUAUUUCUUCAUAGCAAAUAAAUUAUAUUUUUUUUUUUUUUUUUUGUUUCUGUUUUUUGAUCAUAAAUUAUGAUUAUUUUAGUGAACACUUACAUAAUUGUACUGUACAUGUAAUUUGCUCUUUUCUUUUUAUGUUCCCAUUAUAUGUUCCAAUUAUAUGAUAAAAAAAAAAAAAAAAAAAAAAUGUUAAACAUUUUACACGAUUCCGAACAACAACAAUAAAAAAAAAUGUAUUUUUUUAAGCCAAUAAACAGAACAGUUUAUUUUAUUUAUAACACUAAAAGAACACAUUUAAAUUUUAAAUUGUAUCUUAAAUUUAAACAGUGGAAUUAUUUAAAAAAUGAAAUUAUUACUUAUUUCAAUUCUACUAAAAAGGUAAAUACAGUAGUAGAUAUUGAAGCUAACCACUGGGAAAAAUUUAAAAAAAAAGAAGUAAUACAAGUACAUGGUUAUAUCCCAGCAAUAAUAUGGAAAUAUGGAUCAGAAAAACGAAUUUGUAUACAACACAAGUUAAUUGAUGAAUACGCUUUUGAAGAGGAAGAUGGGCAUUUAUCCAUGUUAUUUUCGGCUAGACUGUUUAGAAUACAUCUUGAUGGAGAGGUCACAGAAUGUGUUGUAUCUUAUGUUGAAGCAGAUCCUGUUGAAAAGCACAUAUACUUUUUAAAGUUUGCACGAGUUGUAGAAAAUAAAAUAACUGAGUUAAACAUCCCUUGCAGCUUAAUUGGCUUAAUAGGAUGUCCUGCUUAUAUUAAUGGAUACCAUGUCCAGUUGGCUUUAAAUUAUAUAAAAUGUAAAGUAUUAGGAAACAAUAUUCCCCCACCUUUUCAAAUUGAUGUCUCUAAGUUAACAUAUAAAGAACCAUAUAAUUCUAUUAAUUUAAAGGAUUUAAAGGUAAACAUCGAAAAAAAAAAAAAAAAAAAAAAAAAAAANNNNNNNNNNNNNNNNNNNNNNNNNNNNNNNNNNNNNNNNNNNNNNNNNNNNNNNNNNNNNNNNNNNNNNNNNNNNNNNNNNNNNNNNNNNNNNNNNNNNAUUUUUUCCGAAGAGUAUGAUUUAGAUAAGACAGAGGUAGUUUGGACAUAUGAAACAGGAAAAAUACCAGAAACACCGUUACCAGACGAUUAUAUGGACCCCAACUUUUUGAACAAACAAGGAAAAAGAAUUCAAUUAACAUAUAAAGAUUAUUGGCCAAAACAAUAAAUGUAAUUUUUUUUUUUUUUUUUACACCGUAGUAAACUUUUUUGUUUAAACAUAGUACUAUACCUUCUUAUUUUUUUUUUUUUUAUUCUCUACUUAUCAUUCGUUUUCUUUGCUUUCUUUGUUUUCUUUGUUUUCUUUGUUUUCUUUGUUUUCUUUUCUUUCUUUGUUUUCUUUUCUUCCUUUGUUUUUUUUGUGUUACUGUAUUUUACUUUAAUUUAAAAAAAUUAGGAUCGAACUGCAGUUACAACAUUUUCUAUUUUUUAAAAUUGCUCCUAAAAUAAAAAAAUAUAUAUCAAAUAAAUUAAUAAUGAA